Molecule: long non-coding RNA, 1673 nt
Organism: Aedes albopictus (Asian tiger mosquito)
Lineage: Eukaryota; Metazoa; Arthropoda; Insecta; Diptera; Culicidae
Exons: 3
Source: RefSeq, a predicted model, not a curated record
GCACAGAUGUUCCUAUCGAGCCAACAACAGCCAAUUUUAUCGCGACCAGCACCAACCAAACGCUACCAUCAACCGAUAACUUCAGUACUCCCUACACUCCCCCACAGACAAUGUCGAGAUCAACACUAAUAUUAGCUACUCGUACAUCAACAUCCAGUUGAUAGUUCUGUAUCGAGAACGACUGAUAGUGUUCCUAUGUGAGUUAGACAGGCACGACCACAAAUACGCAUAACACUCCAAAGACGCAGUUCUAUUCCGGGGGCAAUGAGAAUCCUGCUAGUGCAUACGCUGGAGAUUGUCGUUAACAACAGCUCCAAACUGAGCCGUUGGUUCUAGCGAUGCUUAUGGACAACAAAUUCGCGGUCCGCAAUGCCAUCAUAUGGAACGCCGAGCAGAAGGUGUGCUUCGGCCCAGCAACUGUUUACUCGCCACUAAAAUCAUACCGUGCCCAGGACCGUGCCCUUACAGCAUAGCCGCUAGUAAUCUCGGAACAAAAACCAGAAAUUAUACCACCAUCGGAGCCCACACGUGCCCGCUUUGCCUACUUCUCCGCCGCAACAUGCUACGCCGGUGUCAAUAUCUGUCUGGCCGGUUCGCUAUCCGGAAAUUCUACCACACUGAGUCCCAGGUCUCGUCACUCAACACAGAAGUCAGCAACAUCAAAUUUUCCCCGCCACCGAUAUAGAUUCAGCAUCAACCGAUCGCUUCAGUACCGCAUCCCCCAUACUGAUAGAGAACCGGAAGGAUAGAAUCCACUCGUACAUCUACGAUUACUCCGCCGCUAGUGAUGCAACUAAUGCGACUACAAGUGCUACAAGGCUGCACUUUAUCGACGAUGGAUCUUGGAGUGCAACUGCCUACUGCAGUGUUAUUCUUUAUAAAAAGGAGACCAGCAGUUGGUUUUGCAGAACGGCGAUUUCGACCGCAAAUUAUCACAACACUUCGAGAAGUGCAAAGAGAAUCCUGCUCCUCGAUGCACAGGAGAUCGCCGAAGACAGUCGUUUGCAACAGCGUAAUACCAUCAUGUGAGGCGUUGAGCUUAAACUGUAUUGUAUUAAUCAUGUUGUGUUAUAUACUUUAUGAAACUGUUGAAAAUCAGAGUUUUGCCAAGCCAAAAUAUCCGAAAAGACAGUACCUUACUUUUGCGAGUUAUUCCGGGUUUCAUAGUCUUUUGCGGAAUGUCUUUAUUGGUAUAUUUAGACUUGAAAAAAACACCACUUGAAGCUAUGAAAAGUAAAAGUAAUAAAAAUUUAAAUUGUUUGUAAAAAACAAUUCAUUUGUGUUUAUAACAUAUUUCAUUGUUUUCCAAUGACUGAUUAUUUUUUUUUAUCUGUUUUCUAAAUAUAUUUUGAUUAGUUUUAGAAUAUUAGGAAAGCUUUCAUAAGUCGUAAAUUUUUGCAAAUAUAAACAAAAUAUAUGAAAGAAAAGGAUAAAAAAGAUUUAAUCAUGUCAGAAUUGGUAAUCGUUUAUAUAGCUCGAUUUGUUACAUCCGAUGUUACAUCGUUUUGAUUACAUCCUGUCUGUGUACGUCGAAAUUAUUACAUCGCAAAAAUUACAUCGGAUCUGUUUAUUACAUCAAUAGCCCGCGAGUACAUCGGGCUGUGUAAUAUCAAUCGAUCGAUGUAACGACUUGGUUGCAGCGAUUUCGAUGUAAUAUUCAACAACUUUUUUUG